CCUACGGGAGGCAGCAGUGAGGAAUAUUGGUCAAUGGUCGGGAGACUGAACCAGCCAAGCCGCGUGAGGGCGGAAGGUACAGAGUAUCGUAAACCUCUUUUGUCAGGGAACAAAGACUGGGACGCGUCCCCGGAUGAGUGUACCUGAAGAAAAAGCAUCGGCUAACUCCGUGCCAGCCGCCGCGGUAAUACGGAGGAGGCGAGCGUUAUCCGGAUUUAUUGGGUUAAAAGGGUGCGCAGGCGGUCUGGUAAGUCAGCGGUCAAAGCCCGGGGCUCAACCCCGGCCCGCCGUUGAAACUGGCAGUCUCGAGUUGGAGAGAAGUAUGCGGAAUGCGCGGUGUAGCGGUGACAUGCAUAGAUAUCGCGCAGAACUCCGAUUGCGAAGGCAGCAUGCCGGCUCCACACUGACGCUGAGGCACGAAAGCGUGGGUAUCGAACAGGAUUAGAUACCCCGGUAGUC
RNAcentral lists this ribosomal RNA (459 nucleotides) under uncultured bacterium. Its description in RNAcentral is "partial 16S ribosomal RNA". It matches the Rfam family "Bacterial small subunit ribosomal RNA", at positions 338 to 795 of the family's 1533-position model. The record is from RNAcentral.